GAUGAACGCUGGCGGCGUGCCUAAUACAUGCAAGUCGAGCGAAUGGAUUAAGAGCUUGCUCUUAUGAAGUUAGCGGCGGACGGGUGAGUAACACGUGGGUAACCUGCCCAUAAGACUGGGAUAACUCCGGGAAACCGGGGCUAAUACCGGAUAACAUUAUGAACCGCAUGGUUCGAAAUUGAAAGGCGGCUUCGGCUGUCACUUAUGGAUGGACCCGCGUCGCAUUAGCUAGUUGGUGAGGUAACGGCUCACCAAGGCAACGAUGCGUAGCCGACCUGAGAGGGUGAUCGGCCACACUGGGACUGAGACACGGCCCAGACUCCUACGGGAGGCAGCAGUAGGGAAUCUUCCGCAAUGGACGAAAGUCUGACGGAGCAACGCCGCGUGGGUGAUGAAGGCUUUCGGGUCGUAAAACUCUGUUGUUAGGGAAGAACAGGUGCUAGUUGAAUAAGCUGGCACCUUGACGGUACCUAACCAGAAAGCCACGGCUAACUACGUGCCAGCCGCCGCGGUAA
Molecule: ribosomal RNA, 515 nt
Filed under: uncultured bacterium
Lineage: Bacteria
Description: partial 16S ribosomal RNA
Rfam family: Bacterial small subunit ribosomal RNA
Source: RNAcentral